GCACUGCAGCGAUCCUGCAGAGGCAGUCCUUAGCUGGCGUCAGACUUGCGGCUGGAGCCACGGCUGGUGUGCCUGGUGUCCAGUGCCACCUUGGCCUGCUGCUGCCACCCUGGCGCCGCGAACUCUGUGCCGACGCUCCCUCCACCCUGUCUUGGGACGGCCGGCACUAAAAAUUCAUGCUGCGAUACUCGAUUCAGCCAGGAGGUGACAAUAAUUGCGAUUAGAAGCCAUUCCACUGGUGAAGACGUACAUUGAGCCCUGCCUGCCCCAGCGAGGUUACGAGACAAUUAGGAGAGGCUCAAAUCAGCAUCGUGCACGUGGUUGUGAAACCAUUGUGAAGUCUUGGUUCAGCUUUGGACAUCCAGGCCCCUCUGCAUUCAGCUCUUUAGCCUCCAUUUGACUUCGCAUUUCGUGCGCUGCGGAGUUAAGUCAGGAAAGAAAACGGCUGUGCACAGAGGGAGAGCCGAGCACGGUCUGUCCUUCAGCGACACCCCUGCGGCAGGGUAGGAGGAGGGUGGGCUUUGGGGGUCAGACCUGCGACUCCAGUGUUCAUUGCGGCCUUUUGGAAAGUCAGGCUUGACUCCUUUUUCAGUAAAAAAACAAAAAACAAAAUCCCUUUGGGAUUGAGAAUCUUUCCUAUUCAUUGGCUCUUGAAGUUUUGAAAUUUCUAGCCCUUAAGUUUCUUCAGGUUUAAGUUAAAUUCACGUACGUGUGAACCUUUUCAGUUGUAGUGUGCAUAAGUCCUUUCCCCAGACACGGUACUGGGAUCAUUUUGUUACCUGGCAACAUGGCCCCUGUGAGAAUAGCAUCCUGGACGAGGGCCCCAGAUUCAUGGAUAGUUGCUGUGUCAGGCACUGUUCAUAUAUGAAGGCGUUUAAUACUGACAGUAACGCUUUCCUUAAGGUUCUAUGAGUAUUAUUAUGUAUAAUUGAUAGAUGGGGGAAUUGAGGCAGCUUACACAGUUUAGGUGACUUGUCCAAGGUCACACAGCAAGUCAUUUGCAGAGCAGGGGUUUGUACAAACACUACAGGGUCCACACUCUUAGCCCCUCAGAUACUCCUGUUUCAGUCUCCUUUCCCAGGCAAUGCACUUAUCAUUCCUUCUUGCCUCUUUCAUUUGUCUAAUUUGAGUUUGACACUCUUCUUUUUUAAAAUAGGGUUCCUUCUCACCUUCUCCUUCUCUAGUUGUUCAUAUUCACAGUUUAACCACCUGCCUAGAAAAGGUGGCAGGCUAUCCAAUAAAGAAAUCCUCAUGGAAUGAUCAGCAAAGCAGACGGGGUGAGCGUGUGGGCACUUUAUUCGUCUUGUGAUAUAGAUGUGUGGGGUGGCAGUUCUGGUCUCCUGGGAUCCUGGGCGCGUCAGUGACUAGCUAUAGUUUGUGACAUGAUACAGGGUGCUUCUGUGUGCUGCUUUUUGGGGUCCAGGUCUAGAGCUGGACAACUGAGGGGCUUUGUGGAGCCUUAAGAAGGAGUCAUGUGGCCCUUGGUGACUCAUUUUACCUCUUCCAAGGUGGCUGUGUGUGCUGGGCUGAGUGUCGAAGGCUUCUUCUUUGGGCUCUGGCUUCUGCUCUGUGCCUUGCCUCCCCAUCAUCUUCAGUCUGUGACUUAGGUUAGUCUGUCCAGGAAGUCACUUUGUUUCACCCUGGUCCCCUAAGGACGUCAAAUACCAGGAACUAUAAUCACUUCCAUGUAUCCUGCCGCGGGAUGCCUCGUUUUCCCCUUACGCCACACCAUAAGGUAGAUUUCAGCAGAAUCUGGGACGUGCCGGCAGAUCCAAGGAGCAGGGUGCUAGGACGACGUUUGCGUUUUUACACUUGGCGUUAUUACACUUUCCCAUGGUCAACGACCUGUCACUGCUUCGGCAUAGUGCUUUGAAGAAAUCAAGCAUCAGUCCAAGAAGAAAUGUGAUCACAGCAGCUGUCUUCACAUCACCACAUCUCCCUGGCAAGACCCAGCCGCACCUCUGCCCCCUUAAUGCCGGUCCCAGUUGUGUGUAUUUUGGGGUUCACUGAUGGCGUAUGCUCUGGGUGAAUUCAAGCACUGGGAGAUGGACCACUUCUGGCUGUCAUUUAGAAAAGUGGAGAAGGGGUGGUUUCCUGUAAUGUCAGGCUGAUGGGGAGCAGCAUGCAAGGGAGGGUAUAUACCCUGCAGGAAUCAGCACACAGGUUUUUGUCACCGAUCAAGUAUACCCCCCCCAAGUCAGCUAUGGCUACCCCUCUAUUACUCAGCCUUAUCCAGCAAGCACUGUGGUUAUUAGCAAUGACUUUGAAAACAGUUAUUCCUUUCACACUUCCCUGUUUCACUCCUAAAGUGCUCAGUAUGUUGCAAAUGGAGUUUUGGGACCAUCAUCUUUACAUAUAAGUCCCAACCUGAGAUGCCUCGGUUAUUGUAUCCAGUGUCCUGCCAGUGUGUUCUAAGUACCUAGGACUGGGCUCAAUUUGGGAGAAGGGUGGGGAAUCAGGAGUAUUAAGAUCUGAAAGACUGUGGAUUUCGCAUUCCUCAAAGAAUCUCAUUGUCGGGUAAAUGCAGGACAUUUAAACAGCAAAUAUAAAUAACUAGGGACAUAGUCAUUCCCUCGAAGCACGUAGUUCCCAUGCUUUCCACUUGAAGUUAAGAGCAGUUAAGUAAAUGCAGUAGUGCAGUCUUAUGGAAUGCCGUACCUGUGUUACGACCAGACACGUGUUGAAGGAUGUAGUGACAUGGUUUUCAGUCAGAAGAAUCGCUGCGCCCACUGAACUCCAGAAUAACUGGGAACGAGUUGGUGAUGAGAGAACAAAGACUGCCUUCGUUGGGAGGAGGACUGAGCCUGACCCCGUCUGUCUGUGGUGCUUGGUGCCGCCCUCAGGAAUGGAUGAAGGUAACCUUGGUUCCUGCCUGCCACAGAGGCCAGUGCCCCUUGUGUUAUUUGUCCUUUGCAUGAGGUGCGCUUCCUGUACUUAUUUUUUAAAAGGGCCCUAAAGCUUCCUUUGCACUUUGAUUCACAUCUCACCAUCAACUACAUAUUAAAAUCUCUCAACAAAGAAGAGCUUUGCAAGCUUUAAAAAUGACAUGCUGGCAAAGGUGGGAAUAAAACUGACUUCCGAUUCAUCCAUUUUAGACUCCAGAAAAAAAAAAAGCAUUUUAAAGUGAAAAGCAUUGCUGUUAGUAUGGGCAGCUCUCCACAAAAUGGGUGGGGGAAUAAAUUCUUUUCGCUGUGACCUUGGAGUGUGGGUGGGAUUCAUGAAUACACUUUCCUGCUGAGCUGUUUCAGUCAUCCGGAGGAGCGCAGAAGAUUUGUCAUCUUCAGAAGGUAAGGUCGGUUUGCUGCCAUUGCUACCUGGCAUGUGAACUACAAACAGGUCUCUCUAGAGUCCGUCCUACACCCUAUCCACACAAAGCCUCUUCCUAGGACCUCGCAGCCCCCCAUCCACACCCAGCACAAAGAAGAAAUCAGAAUGGCAACAAUGUCAUGUAGGCAGUGAAAUUCGUUGAUGCCUAAUUAGUAUCAGUGCAUAUCUUCCAUGUCGUUACUACCUGAAAAGGCUCUGAUACAAUUUUGUCACUGUAGUGCCCUUUGGGAACUAUAUGUUGGCAAUACCAUCUCUCGGCACUGCUUUAAGGACAUUUUUCCUAUUAGUGGACAGGAAGGUCUAGUGUAGCUCUAGCACUUUCUGUCUUAGUCAAGUGGGGGGCCUCUGAAUGCUGUGCUUCUCAACUAUCCCCUGAAGGGCUUGGUUGAAUUUUCAGAGUGAGUUUCUAUUAAUACUGUCAUUAGCCAUUGCUAUUCCUUUUAAGCAUUCUGUCUAGGCCAUAUGACUUAAAUUUCCAUAAAGUCAAGGUUAUGCUGACAAUUCCCUACACUAAUAGUGCAGGUAAGCUUUCUUAGCCGUUUUUGAUAAAUGUCUUUGGAGUGUUGGUUUCUUGAAAGCAUGUUGAUGCCCUUUUCUAAUUGUCCACUUGCCUCUCCUAAGGAAGCUCCUGUAGACACUGCUUUAUUGUCGCAUUAGCGACAGUCAGUGCUGGGGAAAUGCUGUCCCGAAAAAAAUCUUACACAUGCUGGAGACCCUUAGAAACUUGUCAAGUUCUCACUACAAAUACCACUGGAAUUGAAAUUGGAAUGGCAUCGAAUGUAUAGGUUAACUUUUGGAGAGCUAUCGUCUUUAUACUCUUCUCAUAUAUGCUUCUUCUCUCUGCUGCCUUUUGAGCUGCCAGGCACUGUGCUGGGUGAUGGGGAUAUGGAGACGAACUAGACAGUCCCUGCCCUCAAGGACUUCUCAGUUUAGUGAGAGUUCGACAUGUACACAGAUCAUCACAACAGAAUGUUAUGCUCUACAAUGCAGGUAUGUACAACGUAUUAAUGGGGCUCAGAAGACUAGUCAUUUGACUGAGUCUGGAGAUGCUAGAGGUUGCAGGAACUAGUGCUUACGUUCAUUCUUAAAAGAAGUAAAGGUUGACCGAGCAGAAAACAGAGGGAAGGACAUUCUAAGCAGAGGGAUAGACAUUGGAAAUAGAAUAAUGAAUUAGGGGAACUACAAGUGGUUCAUGAAAUUAGGUUGGAAAUGUAGGCUGAUAAUAGAUUCUUAUAUAGCACGCCAUAAAAUUUAGAUUUCAUUUUGAGUGUUUUAAGAAGGGGAAGCUUUUGAUAGUCACUCUGGCAGUAGUAUGGAGUAUGUUCUGGAAGAUUUUCAAAUCUGGACAGGGAGAUCAGUUCGAGGAAAUUACAGUAGUUAAGAUGAUACAUGAUCUAAGGCCACAAGAAAUGGGAGUGGAGAAGGGAUAAGCUCUUAAAUAAGAGAUCAUAAAAACACAGGUAUAAUAGAACAUGGGAAAAUUAAGGUGGUAAAGAGGGAAAACUCAAGGCUUUCAGACUUUUGCAAAUGUGCCCCCUCCUACCACCAGCCCUGGUCUUGAUGGGAGAUCCUCUGAUGAUCUUUAGAUGAGUGUUGCUGUUAUUGGCUCCUUCUAGACUAGGGCUUGGCUGUAUAGAUUUUGUAAGUUUCUUUGGGGGGUGGGGGCAGCCAUAUAGGAAAUGUUCAUUCUCAGGAAAACACCUGAACAGCUGCAGGCUUCUUAUCGUAUUACUAAGUUCCUGGUCCUUCUCAUCAAUAGCAGGAUUACUCUCACUGCACAUGUCAACCAAAGCACUUUUUAACAAAAGUGGGGGCUUUUCUAUAUAAAACCCACUCAGGGAAGAAAUGGCCUUAGUUAUUACUGUGUCAAUAACUUUAUUUUGCUUAGGGAUUUAAAAAUGUUUAUGGUCACAACACCGAGUGAAAAAUACAUUCAAUAAUCGAAAACCUAAACAUAUCCAGUGUUUAUCUCUUUUCUCAAAGCCAUAUAAACAGUGUUCUUUGGGAAAGUCUCCACUUAAGGCUCAGAGCAGUGACCCUGGGGAUUCAGAGAAUGUCUUUCUGUGACUAGAAUGAUUAAUGGGAGAUUAUAUUUAAGCAGGCCUUCUGCAUUUUUAGUGGACCUUAUGUGACUAACCACCGUGAAGGGGACUAGGAGGAAGAAGGGUUGGGACAGAGAGAAUUUGGGCCUUGGGGGGACUAGAUAGACUGGGCUCUAAUCUGCUCUGACACGUUUUCACCUUGAAUGCAAAAUAGGGUUAAUCUUUUUGUAGUGAUUUUAGUGAAUGGGGGUGGGAGGGACUGUAAGGAUUUAAUGAGACUAUUUAUGUGAAUUGCUUAGAACAGGUCUAGAAUAUGAUGCUGAUAAUGAUGUUAACCAUGACAAGGAUAAAAGCAGACGUAACUAGAGGGUGCUUGUACUUGACAUUGUCAAAUAGGUUGUGAAAGCAGAUGAAUUUCGUCCAUGCCCUGCUUGCUAACGUGUUGCCUUUGUUCUUAUUUCCAAAUAGAAAGCUGUCGAAAAGUUGUGUAACACCUCAAUAGGGGUUGUCUUAAAAACAUAGACAAAUGCUUUGGAAUUGGUCAAAACUGGAUUUGAAACGUGACUCAACUGCUUACUAGCCGUGUGAUCUAAGGCGUUACUUAACUUCGUUGAACUUCAGUUUCUGCAUCUAAUACAAUACCUAAUCCGCAGGGUUUCCAUGAGGAUAUUUGUAAAGUGUAUGCCAUAAGCACUCUAUAAAUUACAGCUAUUAUUGUUAGUUCUUGGACACUCACCACGUGACAGAAAAAAAACAGCAGGCCCUGGUGGCUGGGAGGACUUCAUGGAUCCAACAGCAGCCUGGAGUUGUGCUCUGAAGAAAUCGUACUCGGAUGGAUAUAAUACAACCUGCUAAGUGUCCUAGCACUUAGCAGGUUGUAUUAUCAUUGUCCGUGUCUAUGGCUCUCGUCUACCAGACUCCAAAUUCCUUAUGGGCAAGGACAGUGCCUUAUUCAUCUUUGUAUUCGCAGUGCCUAAUCCAGUGCACAUUGUAGGUCUCAUUAAAUGUUUGUUGAAUGAAAAAAUGAAUCAUCAACAGACAUUAAUUGGGCGCCUGCUCUGUGAUCUCCAUGGGCUGAACUUCUCCCCGCCAGUUGCCUACAACGUUCCAAGCUGCCUUCAAUAUGCUUUCUCCCGAAGCUUACUCCUGUCUUCUAAUUCUUUUGCGGAGGAUUUUUCUGUGUAGUGCAAACAUAGCAAAUAUACUUCAUCUCAAGGACCAUCUCCAAUUGAUUGAUAGUGUUUUCUAAAAAGGGUUCUGAAGCCAGGUUUCAGCUCAGUGUGAGCGGGCUUAUAAUUCAUUAGUGAUGUUUGCUGAGGGUGGGGAAAAGGGGAGCAAUGAUACAAAUGCCACACACAUGUCAUUUAAUGUUGUGUUUUCCAUAAAACACUCUUGUUUCUAUGCCUGCGUUUUCGUCAUGGCUACUUGCAGAUGUAGCAUGGCUGCUGCUGCUGCUAGCGAUCGCUGCCAGGUGUUCCUUGCGUAGGACCAGACUGACUGCUGAUCGGCAACAUCCUCCUCGGCCUGGAAUUUGUUCCUGUGGCUGGUACUCACAAUUUCCCCCUUGCAGCUUUACCGCAGCCAUCCCCUUCCCUACACUGACAGGUAGGCCUCCACUUUCUGUUCAGCACUCAACAGGCUCAUAUUCCCGUUGUCUUCCUUAGUGUGAUCAGUGAUUAUUGGUCCAUGGAAAGCUUUCUUUGUGUUAGAAGAUAUGACCAUUAGAAUAUAAGUUAAACCAUUCUGCCAGAGCCCUACAGUGAGUCAUCUAAGCUCUGUGUGAAUAGGGAGAAAAUGGAACGUGCUAGCAGACAGGGGCAGGAAGAACUUAGAAGGGAGUCAUUGUAGAUGUGAGACAGAGAGGUGAUAACAGAAGGAAUAAGAUCCUGAAAGAUGAUGAGGGCAGGGGUGGGAGGGGGAAAGACCUAUGUCUCUAGAACGUGGCUGGAGGAUUAGCCCGAGGUGAAAGGAGGUACCUGUUCACUGGAGCAGACAGAGUCAGGGAUAGCAAGGACACCUAAUAAUUGUAUAAGUAAAUGCUGAAGAGCAAGGUGAGCCAGAGUUUCCAAGAAAUAUCCAAAAUGUCCAGCCCAAAGGCUGGAGUGAGGCCAACAGCAGAGCUGCUGUUAUAUCAAAGUGAGAAACCAGUUUCAAACUUGCUUAGAAACACAGGAAAAUAUCAAGUGUUCUUGGGCCAUGGUCACAGGCAAUGUUUGGUUGUCUGGGCCUGACCUUGACUGAUUGAAGAGUAGACAGCUAGCAAGAGGACUUACCCAGAAAA
Long non-coding RNA from Hipposideros armiger (great roundleaf bat), 7650 nucleotides. RefSeq lists it as uncharacterized. The transcript is spliced from 6 exons. The record is from RefSeq and is a predicted model, not a curated record. NCBI's taxonomy places the organism in Eukaryota, Metazoa, Chordata, Mammalia, Chiroptera, Hipposideridae.